This 590-nucleotide ribosomal RNA is filed under the name Elsinoe tectificae. RNAcentral describes it as "eukaryotic LSU rRNA". It matches the Rfam family "Eukaryotic large subunit ribosomal RNA", at positions 46 to 653 of the family's 3401-position model. Lineage: Eukaryota; Fungi; Ascomycota; Dothideomycetes; Myriangiales; Elsinoaceae. The record is from RNAcentral.
AUAAGCGGAGGAAAAGAAACCAACAGGGAUUGCCUCAGUAACGGCGAGUGAAGCGGCAACAGCUCAAAUUUGAAAUCUGGCGCCCCCGGCGUCCGAGUUGUAAUUUGUAGAGGAUGCUAUUGGGUUGCCACCGGUCUAAGUUCCUUGGAACAGGACGUCACAGAGGGUGAGAAUCCCGUAUGUGACCGGCCAGGCGCCUUCUGUAUAGCUCCUUCGACGAGUCGGGUUGUUUGGGAAUGCAGCCCUAAAUGGGAGGUAAAUUUCUUCUAAAGCUAAAUACCGGCCAGAGACCGAUAGCGCACAAGUAGAGUGAUCGAAAGAUGAAAAGCACUUUGGAAAGAGAGUUAAAAAGCACGUGAAAUUGUUGAAAGGGAAGCGCUUGCAAUCAGUCUCGACGGCGGCUGUUCGGCCUCUCUUCUGAGUGGUUUAUUCAGUCGCCGCCGGGCCAGCAUCAGUUUCGGCGGCCGGAUAAAGGCGCGGGGAAUGUAGCUCCCUCGGGAGUGUUAUAGCCCCGCGUGCAAUACGGCCCGCCGGGACUGAGGUCCGCGCUUCGGCUAGGAUGCUGGCGAAAUGGUUGUAAGCGGCCCGUC